ACCUCGGUAGUGUAAUGGAUCAGCACGGCGACCUGGAUUUCUGUGAGUGCGGGUUCGAGUCCUGCCUGAAGUU
RNAcentral lists this transfer RNA (73 nucleotides) under Dictyocaulus viviparus (bovine lungworm). It matches the Rfam family "tRNA". Rfam says of the family: Transfer RNA (tRNA) molecules are approximately 80 nucleotides in length. The record is from Rfam by way of RNAcentral. Lineage: Eukaryota; Metazoa; Nematoda; Chromadorea; Rhabditida; Metastrongylidae.